This 447-nucleotide ribosomal RNA is filed under the name Triticum aestivum (bread wheat). RNAcentral's name for it is "partial small subunit ribosomal RNA". The record is from RNAcentral. Lineage: Eukaryota; Viridiplantae; Streptophyta; Magnoliopsida; Poales; Poaceae.
AUGGGCAGGUUGCCGGACUGGAAGGGGAAGAAUCUGGCGCGUCCGGGCAUGGUCUCCCUUGCAAAGUCCGUGUUGUGCGCCAUCGCAAAUCAUCACCUCCCUGUGCUCCCGCUCCCCACUUGGACAAUCCAGAAGCUCAGUAAGAUCACUUGUAACUUCAUCUGGUGUGGGGAAGACUCAGAAAACGCGUCUGGUGGACACUCUCUGGUCAACUGGAAGACUGUUUGCCGGCCUAAGCCCAUGGGGGGCCUGGGAAUCACAGACCUCGAGAGAUUUGGUCGGGCGCUCCGACUUCGCUGGCCUUGGCUUAUGUGGACUGAUCUUGACCGCCAAUGGGUGGGCUCUGCGGUGCCCUGUGAUGAGACGGAUAUGGCGCUCUUCAGGGCUUCUACCAGCAUCUCAUUGGGCAAUGGGAGAAAAUCCUUAUUCUGGCACGACGACUGGACA